RNAcentral lists this ribosomal RNA (468 nucleotides) under uncultured bacterium. RNAcentral's name for it is "partial 16S ribosomal RNA". It matches the Rfam family "Bacterial small subunit ribosomal RNA", at positions 28 to 507 of the family's 1533-position model. The record is from RNAcentral.
GACGAACGCUGGCGGCGUGCUUAACACAUGCAAGUCGAACGGAAAGGCCCUGCUUUUGUGGGGUGCUCGAGUGGCGAACGGGUGAGUAACACGUGAGUAACCUGCCCUUGACUUUGGGAUAACUUCAGGAAACUGGGGCUAAUACCGGAUAGGAGCUCCUGCUGCAUGGUGGGGGUUGGAAAGUUUCGGCGGUUGGGGAUGGACUCGCGGCUUAUCAGCUUGUUGGUGGGGUAGUGGCUUACCAAGGCUUUGACGGGUAGCCGGCCCGAGAGGGUGACCGGCCACAUUGGGACUGAGAUACGGCCCAGACUCCUACGGGAGGCAGCAGUGGGGAAUAUUGCACAAUGGGCGGAAGCCUGAUGCAGCAACGCCGCGUGCGGGAUGACGGCCUUCGGGUUGUAAACCGCUUUCGCCUGUGACGAAGCGUGAGUGACGGUAAUGGGUAAAGAAGCACCAGCUAACUACGUG